RNAcentral lists this ribosomal RNA (291 nucleotides) under uncultured bacterium. RNAcentral describes it as "partial 16S ribosomal RNA". It matches the Rfam family "Bacterial small subunit ribosomal RNA", at positions 505 to 796 of the family's 1533-position model. The record is from RNAcentral.
GUGCCAGCCGCCGCGGUAAUACGGAGGGGGCUAGCGUUGUUCGGAAUUACUGGGCGUAAAGCGCGCGUAGGCGGACUAUUAAGUCAGGGGUGAAAUCCCGGGGCUCAACCCCGGAACUGCCUUUGAUACUGGUAGUCUAGAGUUCGAGAGAGGUGAGUGGAACUCCGAGUGUAGAGGUGAAAUUCGUAGAUAUUCGGAAGAACACCAGUGGCGAAGGCGGCUCACUGGCUCGAUACUGACGCUGAGGUGCGAAAGUGUGGGGAGCAAACAGGAUUAGAAACCCGGUAGUCC